RNAcentral lists this ribosomal RNA (72 nucleotides) under Gemmiger sp. An194. The record is from RNAcentral. Lineage: Bacteria; Bacillati; Bacillota; Clostridia; Eubacteriales; Oscillospiraceae.
GCCGGUGCCGAUGACGCAGAGGUCCCACCUGUUCCCAUUCCGAACACAGAAGUUAAGCUCUGUUGUGCCGAA